Molecule: ribosomal RNA, 256 nt
Filed under: uncultured bacterium
Lineage: Bacteria
Description: partial 16S ribosomal RNA
Rfam family: Bacterial small subunit ribosomal RNA
Source: RNAcentral
GCAAGUCGAACGAAAUCCAUGGAGUGCUUGCACUCCGGAAGAUUUAGUGGCGAACGGGUGAGUAACACGUGAGAAACCUACCUCGAAAUUUGGAAUAACUCAGGGAAACUUGAGCUAAUACCAGAUGCCCUCCUUUGAUCGAAUGGUCAGCUGAGGAAAGAUUUAUCGCUUUGAGAGGGUCUCGCGGCCUAUCAGCUAGUUGGUGAGGUAAUGGCUCACCAAGGCAUCGACGGGUAGCUGGAUUGAGAGAUCGAUC